Molecule: ribosomal RNA, 253 nt
Filed under: uncultured bacterium
Lineage: Bacteria
Description: partial 16S ribosomal RNA
Rfam family: Bacterial small subunit ribosomal RNA
Source: RNAcentral
UACGAAGGGGGCGAGCGUUGUUCGGAAUUACUGGGCGUAAAGCGUGUGUAGGUGGUUCGAUAAGUCUGAUGUGAAAGCCCAGGGCUCAACCUUGGAACUGCAUUGGAUACUAUCAGACUAGAGUGGUGGAGAGGAUAGUAGAAUUCCUAGUGUAGAGGUGAAAUUCGUAGAUAUUAGGAGGAAUACCAGUGGCGAAGGCGACUAUCUGGACACACACUGACACUGAGACACGACAGCGUGGGGAGCAAACAGG